UGUAGUUCAGUUGGUAGAACGGCGGACUGUUAAUCCGUAUGUCACUGGUUCGAGUCCAGUC
RNAcentral lists this transfer RNA (61 nucleotides) under Shewanella hanedai. It matches the Rfam family "tRNA", at positions 7 to 64 of the family's 71-position model. From Rfam's summary of the family: Transfer RNA (tRNA) molecules are approximately 80 nucleotides in length. Their secondary structure includes four short double-helical elements and three loops (D, anti-codon, and T loops). Further hydrogen bonds mediate the characteristic L-shaped molecular structure. tRNAs have two regions of fundamental functional importance: the anti-codon, which is responsible for specific mRNA codon recognition, and the 3' end, to which the tRNAs corresponding amino acid is attached (by aminoacyl-tRNA synthetases). tRNAs cope with the degeneracy of the genetic code in two manners: having more than one tRNA (with a specific anti-codon) for a particular amino acid; and 'wobble' base-pairing, i.e. permitting non-standard base-pairing at the 3rd anti-codon position. RNAcentral also lists the same sequence under 4 other names. The record is from RNAcentral. Lineage: Bacteria; Pseudomonadati; Pseudomonadota; Gammaproteobacteria; Alteromonadales; Shewanellaceae.